RNAcentral lists this ribosomal RNA (958 nucleotides) under Pseudomonas aeruginosa. RNAcentral describes it as "bacterial SSU rRNA". It matches the Rfam family "Bacterial small subunit ribosomal RNA", at positions 55 to 1013 of the family's 1533-position model. Lineage: Bacteria; Pseudomonadati; Pseudomonadota; Gammaproteobacteria; Pseudomonadales; Pseudomonadaceae. The record is from RNAcentral.
AUGCAGUCGAGCGGAUGAAGGGAGCUUGCUCCUGGAUUCAGCGGCGGACGGGUGAGUAAUGCCUAGGAAUCUGCCUGGUAGUGGGGGAUAACGUCCGGAAACGGGCGCUAAUACCGCAUACGUCCUGAGGGAGAAAGUGGGGGAUCUUCGGACCUCACGCUAUCAGAUGAGCCUAGGUCGGAUUAGCUAGUUGGUGGGGUAAAGGCCUACCAAGGCGACGAUCCGUAACUGGUCUGAGAGGAUGAUCAGUCACACUGGAACUGAGACACGGUCCAGACUCCUACGGGAGGCAGCAGUGGGGAAUAUUGGACAAUGGGCGAAAGCCUGAUCCAGCCAUGCCGCGUGUGUGAAGAAGGUCUUCGGAUUGUAAAGCACUUUAAGUUGGGAGGAAGGGCAGUAAGUUAAUACCUUGCUGUUUUGACGUUACCAACAGAAUAAGCACCGGCUAACUUCGUGCCAGCAGCCGCGGUAAUACGAAGGGUGCAAGCGUUAAUCGGAAUUACUGGGCGUAAAGCGCGCGUAGGUGGUUCAGCAAGUUGGAUGUGAAAUCCCCGGGCUCAACCUGGGAACUGCAUCCAAAACUACUGAGCUAGAGUACGGUAGAGGGUGGUGGAAUUUCCUGUGUAGCGGUGAAAUGCGUAGAUAUAGGAAGGAACACCAGUGGCGAAGGCGACCACCUGGACUGAUACUGACACUGAGGUGCGAAAGCGUGGGGAGCAAACAGGAUUAGAUACCCUGGUAGUCCACGCCGUAAACGAUGUCGACUAGCCGUUGGGAUCCUUGAGAUCUUAAUGGCGCAGCUAACGCGAUAAGUCGACCGCCUGGGGAGUACGGCCGCAAGGUUAAACUCCAAUGAAUUGACGGGGGCCCGCACAAGCGGUGGAACAUGUGGUUUAAUUCCAAGCACGCGAGAACCUUACCUGGGCUUGACUUGCUGAGACUUUCCAGAGAUGGAUUG